CAUGCAAAUAUAAUAACUAAUAUCAAUUUCAGGAGUGGAGAGGGCAAAUGCCCAGUCUUGCUCCACCCAUACCCGCCCAUGAAAAGGAAAUGUCGCUGCUGAUCGGCAAACGUUUUAUCCGCAAUCGAUCCGCCUUUAUAUAUUCUUCCUCUUCUUACUUUUAUUUUUUCCCCCUAUUAUUUCAUCGCCAAUUGCGUACGCGAUCUUCAAUAACCUCUACAGCCGAUUUUUUGUAUUUUUUGGUCUUAUCUCUUCUCCGAGACUUAAAUCUCUAACACUCGUAUCGCCUCGAUUCGGUCCCGUACGUCACCCGGAUCUCUCGUUUUUCCCGCCAUACGUCCCAAUACCUUAUAAUUCAACCGGGGAUAAUAAUAAUAUAUCACGCGUCCGGUUACACGUGUAUACAAGCCAAAAGUUAACGUUUCUGCCCGGGUACACGCACUUUUAUUGCCAUGUUGUCGAAACCUUCAUAAACGUACAGAUAAAUAAACAACGCAAAUACCGGGCGAGCUGUGGGCGAACACGAGCAGAUUUUAUUAUUAUAAUCUCGAAACACUAGUAUUAUA
Non-coding RNA from Cinara cedri, 566 nucleotides. Lineage: Eukaryota; Metazoa; Arthropoda; Insecta; Hemiptera; Aphididae. The record is from the annotation of a GenBank genome assembly.